This 48-nucleotide non-coding RNA is filed under the name Schistosoma margrebowiei. The record is from RNAcentral. Lineage: Eukaryota; Metazoa; Platyhelminthes; Trematoda; Strigeidida; Schistosomatidae.
AUCCAGUUGACGACGAUUCCCAAAUAGGACGAAACGCGCGUCCUGGAU